CCCAGAUGGCUCCUGCCCCAGCACAGCUGGAAACUCCGGAAGGAGGAGGCGGGUCCUGCUGGCCUCAUCCUUGGUCUCCGGAGAGGUGGCCAGGACAAGGUGGGAGGUGGAGGCCGGGCUGGCUCUGGGGAGCCAGGGCUGUGACAGCAACCUUCGACCGAAGGUCUGUCCAUGGGGAAUGUGCUGCCUGGAGAGGCGAGGCCCCUGAGGCUGCGUCAGCUGCUCUGGAGUCCACCCUGACCCUCUACCCCUCCUCCUCCAGGCAGCCUUCUGUGACCUCUGCCCUGGCCCUCAUUGCCUCUGCUGCACCCCAGGCCUAAGGGUGGCACUUCAGGGAGAGGAGGACUCAGCCCUCUCCUGAUCCCGAGCAUCUGCUGAAUGGCUGCUUCCCUGGGACUCCUGAGCGUCCAGUGGACAUAUUCCCUGAGGGCUCAUUACCCUAAGGAACAGCAGUCUGGGCCCUGGACAGACAGGGUCUGCUUUGAAGCCCGGCCUGGUGACCCCUCCAGACACAAGGGAGGGCCUGGGGACAAGCCAUGCUGAGGCCUUCCGAGGCAGUGGCUCGCUAGUAGGUCACAGGGGAGUCCUCAGGGUCACUCUGGCUUGUCCUGGGCAACCAUCAAACCCUCUCCUUCCUGAAACUGGAAUGUGAUGGAGAUGCUGGACCCACGUGCAAUGGUGGAGAUAGAAGGGGGACAAGGCACAGCCAGUCUUGCCGCUGGGACUCUCCUGAAAACGGAAUUCUACGCAGGAUCAGCAGGAUCCAAUAAAAGGGGUGUCAUGAGGGCACCUCAAGGAGGUAACGGAGGUGCAAAGUCCCGGGGUCCAAUGAGCUCAGUGGCUCUUGGGAGCAUUUGGGGGACACCUCCCAGAAGCCAAAGCUACGUUGGCACGGAUGAUCACAGUUUGAGGGGAAUAGGGGCUCCUGGGCCUGCGGUGGA
This 941-nucleotide long non-coding RNA is filed under the name Marmota monax (woodchuck). Lineage: Eukaryota; Metazoa; Chordata; Mammalia; Rodentia; Sciuridae. The record is from RNAcentral.